This 254-nucleotide signal recognition particle RNA is filed under the name Hucho hucho (huchen). RNAcentral's name for it is "Metazoan signal recognition particle RNA (ENSHHUG00000041107.1)". It matches the Rfam family "Metazoan signal recognition particle RNA". Rfam says of the family: The signal recognition particle (SRP) is a universally conserved ribonucleoprotein. The record is from Rfam by way of RNAcentral. Lineage: Eukaryota; Metazoa; Chordata; Actinopteri; Salmoniformes; Salmonidae.
GCCGUGCGCGGUGGCCCAAGUCACCCGGAGGCUGAGGUUUGGCUCAUUGUGUGAGCUGAGGCGCUCCGUGUCGAACGGGUGUCCGCACUAAAUUCAGUAUCAAUAUAGUGCUCCUGGGGGAGCCCGGGCCCACCAGCUCGUCUGAGGGCUGCGCUGGCCCAGGUCGGAAACGAAGCAGGUCAAAUCCCCGGUGCCGUCCAGUAGUGGGAUAGCGUCUGUGAGUAGACUCUGCAGAGUAUCCUUCUCAAGACAUU